This 253-nucleotide ribosomal RNA is filed under the name uncultured bacterium. RNAcentral describes it as "partial 16S ribosomal RNA". It matches the Rfam family "Bacterial small subunit ribosomal RNA", at positions 524 to 776 of the family's 1533-position model. The record is from RNAcentral.
UACGUAGGGUGCGAGCGUUGUCCGGAAUUAUUGGGCGUAAAGAGCUUGUAGGCGGUCUGUCGCGUCUGCUGUGAAAAUCCGGGGCUCAACCCCGGACUUGCAGUGGGUACGGGCAGACUAGAGUGUGGUAGGGGAGACUGGAAUUCCUGGUGUAGCGGUGAAAUGCGCAGAUAUCAGGAGGAACACCAAUGGCGAAGGCAGCUCACUGGGACGAUACUGACGCUGAGACGCGAAAGCGUGGGGAGCAAACAGG